Molecule: long non-coding RNA, 605 nt
Organism: Bos taurus (domestic cattle)
Lineage: Eukaryota; Metazoa; Chordata; Mammalia; Artiodactyla; Bovidae
Source: Ensembl
AGUAGGCAGGCAGGUACCACACCACGUGGCCCGUGGAUGGGGGAUGGGAGCCUGGAGAGUCCAAACCUGAGCUAGGGAGGAAAGAGACGGCCGAAGUGGUUCUCUGAGGAGACGUUAGCUGGGCCAGGAAAGGCACUGCAGGCAGCAGGUCAUCCCGGGCGAGGGAAGAACCUCCAGCAGCCACAACAAGAUGGCCACACCGUGGCAGGCGCCCAGGGCUCGUGAUCGCUCCCGGUGGGACUGAGUGGUUCACAGUGAGUCCAGGUCGGAGAACAGGCAGGUCCUAAAGGUCCGGAUUCAUGACCAGGUGCUGAAUUGACAUCAUCAGAUGGACUAACCGCCCUGGUGACAGAGUUGGUGCCGUUUCCCAGAUCCUCCUUGGGACAACCUUGCUAGUCACCCCUUCCUCCCUGCCCUCAGGGUCAACAGCCGGCCUAGCCAACCCGGGGUGGGAGGACGCCUGCUGCCUCCUGUUGCGGCAGACUCCCUCUCCCCUCUCUCUGCAGUCUCACUGGCAAAUGAGUAAGAAGAAUAGAAUUACAGUUGGGCUACACGAGACACAGAAUUAGCGGGAUUAAAUAAAAAUAGCUAUUAAAAGUGCCUUA